GAUGAACGCUGGCGGCGUGCCUAAUACAUGCAAGUCGAGCGAACGGACGAGAAGCUUGCUUUUCUGAUGUUAGCGGCGGACGGGUGAGUAACACGUGGAUAACCUACCUAUAAGACUGGGAUAACUUCGGGAAACCGGAGCUAAUACCGGAUAAUAUUUUGAACCGCAUGGUUCAAAAGUGAAAGACGGUCUUGCUGUCACUUAUAGAUGGAUCCGCGCUGCAUUAGCUAGUUGGUAAGGUAACGGCUUACCAAGGCAACGAUGCAUAGCCGACCUGAGAGGGUGAUCGGCCACACUGGAACUGAUACACGGUCCAGACUCCUACGGGAGGCAGCAGUAGGGAAUCUUCCGCAAUGGGCGAAAGCCUGACGGAGCAACGCCGCGUGAGUGAUGAAGGUCUUCGGAUCGUAAAACUCUGUUAUUAGGGAAGAACAUAUGUGUAAGUAACUGUGCACAUCUUGACGGUACCUAAUCAGAAAGCCACGGCUAACUACGUG
Molecule: ribosomal RNA, 497 nt
Filed under: uncultured bacterium
Lineage: Bacteria
Description: partial 16S ribosomal RNA
Rfam family: Bacterial small subunit ribosomal RNA
Source: RNAcentral